Drosophila mojavensis is the source of this 956-nucleotide RNA transcript. RefSeq lists it as uncharacterized. The transcript has 4 exons. Lineage: Eukaryota; Metazoa; Arthropoda; Insecta; Diptera; Drosophilidae. The record is from RefSeq and is a predicted model, not a curated record.
GAGAAAUUCUGUUUAUUAUUUAAUUUUUUCGGAUUUUCAAAGGCCUUGUAAAAUUUUCUUGUGAGACUUUCGGGUUAAAUAUGGCUGCCUUUCCUGGUUUGGUACUGAGAAUGGUCUUUAUGCUGGUGCUGAGUUCGGAUGCUCAAUGUGUUGAUUGCGAGACACACUGGAGUUCGCAAUGCAAACCAAAUGUUUCUGGUCACUAUUGUAUGCCAGGCACCUUGAUAUCAUCUAAAGGUCAGGCAUACUGGGAUGAACCGAAGACGCUGAGUCAGUAUGUAAAUUGUAUGCCUCCGGGAUACGUUGUGGGAUUUGUUCAUGGUUGGUGCUGCUUCUGGUCAAAGAAAUUUGGGUGCCAGGCUGCCGUCCAUCCGCAUGUUUAUCAGAGCGGAAACACAUUUAAGUUCUGUCAGAGAUGUCAGACUUUGUGUAAAUGCAGCAGCGCGACAAAGUUGCUGCCCAGCAAUUCACACAAUUACCAUACCUUUCGAUAUAUACUUUUUAUACUCUUUCAGAUACUUAAGUAAGGAACCUUAUUCAGAUAGAUGUGAUAUUUAUGAAGUGUGUGUGGUGUAAGGGCUCUACAGCCAAACAGAUUGAAUAGACUGUGAGGAUUAAAGGAUGACACCAUUCAUAUAUGGAAUAUACAUAUAUAGUUUAAAUCUUUUGUAAAUUUCGAGAUCGCUGUGCUGAAAGGAACGGACGAGAAGAUGGACAUGCCUACAUCAACUUGUCUUGACUAAUUGUAUGUUCGAUGCUCAAGUGACCGUCGUUAUAUCCGGAAGACGUAAUAAACGUACAAGCUUGCUUAUAUAUAUAAGUUUGUCUGGGGACCAGUAUUUUAGUCGCAAUGCUAGCACGGACGGUAUGAGUAAAGUUGUUAUAGCCGGACUAAUACAGUCAUAUAUGAUAAAUAUUAUAAGUGUAUAUAAUAAAUAUAGAUAGUAUCUCAGCUA